Molecule: ribosomal RNA, 1391 nt
Filed under: uncultured prokaryote
Description: partial 16S ribosomal RNA
Rfam family: Bacterial small subunit ribosomal RNA
Source: RNAcentral
AGAGUUUGAUCCUGGCUCAGGAUGAACGCUAGCGACAGGCCUAACACAUGCAAGUCGAACGGUAACAUAGAUUGCUUGCAAUCUGAUGGCGACCGGCGCACGGGUGCGUAACGCGUAUGCAACCUACCUUUAACUGAGGGAUAGCCCGAAGAAAUUCGGAUUAAUACUCCAUAAUAUAAGUCUUUCGCAUGUUAGACUUAUUAAAGCUUCGGCGGUUAAAGAUGGGCAUGCGUGACAUUAGUUAGUUGGUGAGGUAACGGCUCACCAAGACAGCGAUGUCUAGGGGGUCUGAGAGGAUUUUCCCCCACACUGGUACUGAGACACGGACCAGACUCCUACGGGAGGCAGCAGUGAGGAAUAUUGGUCAAUGGACGAAAGUCUGAACCAGCCAUGCCGCGUGCAGGAAGAAUGCCCUACGGGUUGUAAACUGCUUUUAUAUAGGAAGAAACCCCUUUACGUGUAAAGGGCUGACGGUACUAUACGAAUAAGCACCGGCUAACUCCGUGCCAGCAGCCGCGGUAAUACGGAGGGUGCAAGCGUUAUCCGGAUUUAUUGGGUUUAAAGGGUCCGCAGGCGGGAAAUUAAGUCAGUGGUGAAAGCCUACAGCUCAACUGUAGAACUGCCAUUGAAACUGAUUUUCUUGAGUAUAGUUGAAGUGGGCGGAAUGUGUCAUGUAGCGGUGAAAUGCAUAGAUAUGACACAGAACACCGAUAGCGAAGGCAGCUCACUAAACUAUUACUGACGCUCAUGGACGAAAGCGUGGGGAGCGAACAGGAUUAGAUACCCUGGUAGUCCACGCCGUAAACGAUGAUUACUCGUUAUUGGCGAUAUAAUGUCAGUGACUAAGCGAAAGUGAUAAGUAAUCCACCUGGGGAGUACGAUCGCAAGAUUGAAACUCAAAGGAAUUGACGGGGGCCCGCACAAGCGGUGGAGCAUGUGGUUUAAUUCGAUGAUACGCGAGGAACCUUACCUGGACUUAAAUGUAGAUUGACCGGUUUAGAAAUAGACUUUUCUUCGGGACAAUUUACAAGGUGCUGCAUGGUUGUCGUCAGCUCGUGCCGUGAGGUGUCGGGUUAAGUCCCAUAACGAGCGCAACCCUUGUCGCUAGUUACCAGCGAGUAAUGUCGGGGAAUCUAGUGAAACUGCCAGCGUAAGCUGUGAGGAAGGUGGGGAUGACGUCAAAUCAGCACGGCCCUUACGUCUAGGGCUACACACGUGCUACAAUGGCCGGUACAGAGGGCAGCUACCACGUGAGUGGAUGCGAAUCUCCAAAGCCGGUCUCAGUUCGGAUCGAAGUCUGCAACUCGACUUCGUGAAGUUGGAUUCGCUAGUAAUCGUAUAUCAGCAAUGAUACGGUGAAUACGUUCCCGGGCCUUGUACACACCGCCCGU